AGAGGGUGCAAGCGUUAAUCGGAAUUACUGGGCGUAAAGCGUGCGUAGUCGGUUAUUUAAGUCAGGUGUGAAAUCCCCGGGCUCAACCUGGGAAUUGCAUUUGAGACUGGAUAGCUAGAGUUCGGCAGAGGGAAGUGGAAUUUCAGGUGUAGCGGUGAAAUGCGUAGAUAUCUGAAGGAACAUCAGUGGCGAAAGCGACUUCCUGGACCAGAACUGACGAUCAGGCACGAAAGCGUGGGGAGCAAACAGGAUUAGAUACCCUGGUAGUCCACGCCAUAAACGAUGACAACUAGAUGUUGGGGACAAUUGGUCCACAGUGUCGUAGCUAACGCGUUAAGUUGUCCGCCUGGGGAGUACAGCCACAAGGUUG
Molecule: ribosomal RNA, 370 nt
Filed under: uncultured bacterium
Lineage: Bacteria
Description: bacterial SSU rRNA
Rfam family: Bacterial small subunit ribosomal RNA
Source: RNAcentral